CGAUAUCAAUAAGCGGAGGAAAAGAAAAUAACAAUGAUUCCCCUAGUAACUGCGAGUGAAGAGGGACAAGCUCAAAUUUUAAAUCUGUCGGGUUCUACCUGACCGAGUUGUAAUUUGAAGAGGCGUUUUCUGUGUUUCUGAUCAGUCCAAGUCCUUUGGGAUAAGGCAUCACGGAGGGUGAGAAUCCCGUUCGGUUGAUCAGAUUCGCUUUACGAUACGCUUUCAAAGAGUCAAGUUGUUUGGGAUUGCAGCUUAAAAUGGGAGGUAAAUUCCUCCUAAGGCUAAAUAACGGCGAGAGACCGAUAGCGAACAAGUACCGUGAGGGAAAGAUGAAAAGAACUUUGAAAAGAGAGUUAAACAGUACGUGAAAUUGUUGAAAGGGAAACGAUUGAAGCCAGUCGUACCUGCGGGUAAUCAGCCUUUUGGGCAUGAUUCUGGGAGUGUGAGGAGUUAAACGCCUUCAUGCCUGCAUAUUCGUGUACUUUGGGUGUACUUGCCUGUGUGGUUAGUUAACAUCAAUUUUGAUUAUCAUAAAAUGGCUGGAGGAAUGUAGCUUCGAUUUCGAUUGAAGUGUUAUAGCCUUCGGCAGAUGUGAUGAUCGGGAUUGAGGAUUGCAACGGAUACCCUUCGGGGCUACCUGUCUGAUCUCUGAUCGUUGCUCUGGUGCCGAAAGCGUGCUUACGGUUAUCAAAGUCGAUGGUCAAUAGGUUAGAAUGGGUUAAAUUCGUUAAGGAUGUUGACGUA
This 744-nucleotide ribosomal RNA is filed under the name uncultured Glomus. RNAcentral describes it as "eukaryotic LSU rRNA". It matches the Rfam family "Eukaryotic large subunit ribosomal RNA", at positions 38 to 633 of the family's 3401-position model. Lineage: Eukaryota; Fungi; Glomeromycota; Glomeromycetes; Glomerales; Glomeraceae. The record is from RNAcentral.